CUAUAAUGCAGUCGAGCGGAAGAUGGGAGCUUGCUCCCUGAUGUUAGCGGCGGACGGGUGAGUAACACGUGGGUAACCUGCCUGUAAGACUGGGAUAACUCCGGGAAACCGGGGCUAAUACCGGAUGGUUGUUUGAACCGCAUGGUUCAGACAUAAAAGGUGGCUUCGGCUACCACUUACAGAUGGACCCGCGGCGCAUUAGCUAGUUGGUGAGGUAACGGCUCACCAAGGCGACGAUGCGUAGCCGACCUGAGAGGGUGAUCGGCCACACUGGGACUGAGACACGGCCCAAACUCCUACGGGAGGCAGCAGUAGGGAAUCUUCCGCAAUGGACGAAAGUCUGACGGAGCAACGCCGCGUGAGUGAUGAAGGUUUUCGGAUCGUAAAGCUCUGUUGUUAGGGAAGAACAAGUGCCGUUCAAAUAGGGCGGCACCUUGACGGUACCUAACCAGAAAGCCACGGCUAACUACGUGCCA
RNAcentral lists this ribosomal RNA (476 nucleotides) under Bacillus amyloliquefaciens. Its description in RNAcentral is "bacterial SSU rRNA". It matches the Rfam family "Bacterial small subunit ribosomal RNA", at positions 51 to 510 of the family's 1533-position model. The record is from RNAcentral. Lineage: Bacteria; Bacillati; Bacillota; Bacilli; Caryophanales; Bacillaceae.